GAUGAACGCUGGCGGCGUGCCUAAUACAUGCAAGUCGAGCGAACAGAUGAGGAGCUUGCUCCUCUGACGUUAGCGGCGGACGGGUGAGUGACACGUGGAUAACCUACCUAUAAGACUGGGAUAACUUCGGGAAACCGGAGCUAAUACCGGAUAAUAUAUUGAACCGCAUGGUUCAAUAGUGAAAGACGGUUUUGCUGUCACUUAUAGAUGGAUCCGCGCCGCAUUAGCUAGUUGGUAAGGUAACGGCUUACCAAGGCAACGAUGCGUAGCCGACCUGAGAGGGUGAUCGGCCACACUGGAACUGAGACACGGUCCAGACUCCUACGGGAGGCAGCAGUAGGGAAUCUUCCGCAAUGGGCGAAAGCUUGACGGAGCAACGCCGCGUGAGUGAUGAAGGUCUUCGGAUCGUAAAACUCUGUUAUUAGGGAAGAACAAAUGUGUAAGUAACUAUGCACGUCUUGACGGUACCUAAUCAGAAAGCCACGGCUAACUACGUG
Molecule: ribosomal RNA, 497 nt
Filed under: uncultured bacterium
Lineage: Bacteria
Description: partial 16S ribosomal RNA
Rfam family: Bacterial small subunit ribosomal RNA
Source: RNAcentral